Molecule: unclassified non-coding RNA, 348 nt
Filed under: soil metagenome
Description: partial contains 5.8S ribosomal RNA, internal transcribed spacer 2, and large subunit ribosomal RNA
Rfam family: 5.8S ribosomal RNA (bases 1-120)
Source: RNAcentral
GAUGAAGAACGUAGCGAAAUGCGAUAAGUAAUGUGAAUUGCAGAAUUCAGUGAAUCAUCGAGUCUUUGAACGCUCAUUGCGACCCCUGGUAUUCCGGGGGGCAUGCCUGUCCGAGCGUCAUUGCCGCCCUCAAGCACGGCUUGUGUGUUGGGCCCCCGCCCCCCGGCUUCGGGGGGCGGGCCCGAAAGGCAGCGGCGGCACCGCGUCCGGUCCUCGAGCGUAUGGGGCUUCGUCACCCGCUCAGUAGGCCCGGCCGGCGCCCGCCGGCGACCCCAAUCAAUCUUUCCAGGUUGACCUCGGAUCAGGUAGGGAUACCCGCUGAACUUAAGCAUAUCAAUAAGCGGAGGA